GGAUAAGGCCGACAUUCUCAGACAAACAUACAUUUACAUAAUAAAUGGGAUAAAAACACUAACCACAGCUAUGGUUUUUUCUAUUUUUUUCCGCAAUUGGGGUUGUAAAUGGGGCAUUUGCAAUGAUUAUAUGAUGGAUUUUCAUUGCUUUUACACACUCUGACUUCGGCAGCGUGCAAGGUGAAAUCAGUAUACGGAUCAGCUGUAUCAUCAAGGAUUCGGGUAAUGUAAGAAUCCAUCAACACCUCUAAUUCCAAGUCCUCGGCGAUCAGGCACUCGUCCAGGUGGCCAUCCUCACACCGGAA
RNAcentral lists this unclassified non-coding RNA (305 nucleotides) under Hevea brasiliensis (rubber tree). Lineage: Eukaryota; Viridiplantae; Streptophyta; Magnoliopsida; Malpighiales; Euphorbiaceae. The record is from RNAcentral.